CUGAAAGCAUGACGCAGCGACGCCGCGUGGAGGAUGACGGCUUCGAGUUAUAAACUCCUGUCAGAGCUGAAGAAUGCCUGAUUUAUCAGGUUUCGACURGUAACCUCAGARGAAGCCCCGUCUAACUACGUCGCCAGCAGCCGCURGUAAUACAGUAGGGVGCAAACUGUUGCUCAGGAAUUACUGGGCAUAAAGGGUGUAGUAGGUGGCUGAGUAAGUCACGGAUGAAAUCCCGAGGCUCAACCUACGGAAUUAGUCCUUGAAACUGCUCAUGCUUGAGGAUAGCAUGAGGAAAACGGAAUUCCCGGUGGAGCGGUGAAAUGCAGUAGAUAUCGGGAGGAACACCAGAGGCGAAGGCGGUUUUCUAAGCUAUYCCUGACACUGAGACA
RNAcentral lists this ribosomal RNA (389 nucleotides) under uncultured Aminicenantes bacterium. Its description in RNAcentral is "bacterial SSU rRNA". It matches the Rfam family "Bacterial small subunit ribosomal RNA", at positions 376 to 753 of the family's 1533-position model. Lineage: Bacteria; Candidatus Aminicenantota. The record is from RNAcentral.